This 377-nucleotide ribosomal RNA is filed under the name uncultured bacterium. RNAcentral describes it as "partial 16S ribosomal RNA". It matches the Rfam family "Bacterial small subunit ribosomal RNA", at positions 355 to 724 of the family's 1533-position model. The record is from RNAcentral.
UGGGGAAUAUUGGACAAUGGGCGAAAGCCUGAUCCAGCCAUGCCGCGUGUGUGAAGAAGGUCUUCGGAUUGUAAAGCACUUUAAGUUGGGAGGAAGGGCAUUAACCUAAUACGUUAGUGUUUUGACGUUACCGACAGAAUAAGCACCGGCUAACUCUGUGCCAGCAGCCGCGGUAAUACAGAGGGUGCAAGCGUUAAUCGGAAUUACUGGGCGUAAAGCGCGCGUAGGUGGUUUGUUAAGUUGGAUGUGAAAUCCCCGGGCUCAACCUGGGAACUGCAUUCAAAACUGACUGACUAGAGUAUGGUAGAGGGUGGUGGAAUUUCCUGUGUAGCGGUGAAAUGCGUAGAUAUAGGAAGGAACACCAGUGGCGAAGGCGA